AUGGAUGGCGCUGCCCCGCGCCGGCUCGGCGGCGCAGACCGCGGCGAUCGCGCGGACCGCGGCCUCCGAGGCGCGCGCGUCCGUGGCCGGGCCGGCGUGCUGCUGCAGGAGCGGCAGGAGCGCCUGCCACACGCGCGGCGAGGCGGCCACGACGAGCGCCAGGUCCCGCGUCGCCGCGGCCGUGGCGACGGUCUCGAGGAGGCGGCACAGGCCUGCCUUGGCCCGGCCGCUGCCUCGCCCCAGCAGCCGGACGAAGGACGCCAGGUUGUCCUCCUUCUUGAGCAUGUUGAGGCAGUCGAGCUGCGGCGCAGCGGCGUUGGACGGCAUGAGGCUGAGCGCGCACUGCAGCGCGAGCUCCUCCGCCUCCGCGUGGCGCUCCGCUGGCGCGGCCGGCGCGGCGUGGAAGACGAGCGGCAGGAGCACGCACAGGAACCCCAGCUGCAGCAUGCACGCGCGGCCGACGUCGGACUCGGACGCCAGCGCCAAGACCUUCUUGAGCGCGCCGAUCUUGGCGGCGACGGAGGUGGCGUCGGACUGGAGGCAACGCUUGAGCGCCGCAAGCGAUGGAUCGUCGUCCGCCGACUCCGGGAGGCUGUGGUCGGUGGCGGCGGAGAGCCAGCGCUCGAUGAGGUGGCGCAGGGUGCGGUUGGGCACGAGCACGGUGGUGUCGCCGUCGCCGAGGGCCUGCAUUGUGACGGGGCAGGUGCGGUGGCCGUCGGCGAGCCACCGCUCGAUGCAUUGACGGUCGUACGUCUGCCCCGUGCACAGCGUCACCGGGUCCGUGAAGAUGUCGAGGCUGAUCGGACACCGGAACAGGUGCGGCACGCUCAUCUUCGGCACCCUCAGGCAGAGAUCAACACGAAUCCAGCAAGAAAUGGAAGAAGCUACGACGCCCACACAAGAGCACGAACCCAGCAAGAAAUGCCUUUGUCCAAGCAGGAAAAAGAGAAAAACAAACCACUCCACUCAUACCAACCAAGAACUCAUCAAGAAAACCCCCAAAAGAUGGCAAACAAAUCUGCAGCUCCGGCCGAUCGGUGGAGAAGCCCUUGUAGGCCGCGAUCGACUUAUUUCGAGGAAUGCGGUCACACAGAAAGCUUUCUUUAA
RNAcentral lists this ribosomal RNA (1107 nucleotides) under Triticum aestivum (bread wheat). RNAcentral's name for it is "partial small subunit ribosomal RNA". Lineage: Eukaryota; Viridiplantae; Streptophyta; Magnoliopsida; Poales; Poaceae. The record is from RNAcentral.